UGAGUUUGUCUGAAGACCUGGGAUCAAUGGAA
This 32-nucleotide non-coding RNA is filed under the name Homo sapiens (human). The record is from RNAcentral. Lineage: Eukaryota; Metazoa; Chordata; Mammalia; Primates; Hominidae.